This 315-nucleotide long non-coding RNA is filed under the name Daphnia pulicaria. RNAcentral describes it as "uncharacterized LOC124316769, transcript variant X1". Lineage: Eukaryota; Metazoa; Arthropoda; Branchiopoda; Diplostraca; Daphniidae. The record is from RNAcentral.
GACUCAGAAACGGACUCGAUUGUGCACGAACCCAACGCCGCUCAACGGCGGCCGCACCUGUCCAGGUUUCAACUUCCAGAAAGGCGAUUGUACCUCCAUCUGUCCAGUAGUGGACGGUCGAUGGAACGCCUGGUCCAGUUGGUCCCAACUGCGGGCUGAUCUUGCAAACACCAUCGUCGCCGUUCGUGCACCAGCAGCCCUUCAUCUUCCUACGGAGGACAAUAUUGGGUCGGCCGUGACUUGCAGCGGGAGGAGUUCGUGCCGACCAUCUCGACAGCUUAGACGAGGUGUUUUUUCUUUCUCUAGAUUCAUCAA